CCUACGGGUGGCAGCAGUGAGGAAUAUUGGUCAAUGGACGAGAGUCUGAACCAGCCAAGUAGCGUGAAGGAUGAAUGCCCUAUGGGUUGUAAACUUCUUUUAUAUGGGAAUAAAAUGUUCCACGUGUGGGCUUUUGUAUGUACCAUAUGAACAAGGAUCGGCUAACUCCGUGCCAGCAGCCGCGGUAAUACGGAGGAUCCGAGCGUUAUCCGGAUUUAGUGGGUGUAAAGGGAGCGUAGGUGGGUUGUUAAGUCAGUUGUGAAAGUUUGGGGCUCAACCGGGAAAUUGCAGUUGAAACUGGCAGGCUUGAGUACAGUAGAGGUGGGCAGAAUUCGUGGUGUAGCGGUGAAAUGCUUAGAGAUCUCGAAGAACUCCGAUUGCGAAGGCAGCUCACUGGACGGAGACUGACGCUGAGGCUCGAAAGUGUGGGGAUCAAACAGGAUUAGAUACCCGGGUAGUC
This 460-nucleotide ribosomal RNA is filed under the name uncultured bacterium. RNAcentral's name for it is "partial 16S ribosomal RNA". It matches the Rfam family "Bacterial small subunit ribosomal RNA", at positions 338 to 795 of the family's 1533-position model. The record is from RNAcentral.